Molecule: ribosomal RNA, 465 nt
Filed under: uncultured bacterium
Lineage: Bacteria
Description: partial 16S ribosomal RNA
Rfam family: Bacterial small subunit ribosomal RNA
Source: RNAcentral
CCUACGGGAGGCAGCAGUGGGGAAUAUUGCGCAAUGGGCGAAAGCCUGACGCAGCGACGCCGCGUGAGGGAUGAAGGUCUUCGGAUCGUAAACCUCUGUCAGCAGGGAAGAGCGGUCACUGUGCUAAUCAGCAGUGACUUGACGGUACCUGCAAAGGAAGCACCGGCUAACUCCGUGCCAGCAGCCGCGGUAAUACGGAGGGUGCGAGCGUUAAUCGGAAUUACUGGGCGUAAAGCGCUCGUAGGCGGUAUGUCAAGUCAAGGGUGAAAUCCCCGCGCUCAACGUGGGAACUGCCUUUGAAACUGGUAAACUGGAGUGUGUGAGAGGAUAGUGGAAUUCCAGGUGUAGGAGUGAAAUCCGUAGAUAUCUGGAGGAACAUCAGUGGCGAAGGCGAUUAUCUGGCACAUAACUGACGCUGAGGAGCGAAAGCGUGAGUAGCAAACAGGAUUAGAUACCCCUGUAGUC